CCCCGACUAGCUCAGUCAGUAGAGCAUGUGACUCUUGAUCUCAGGGUUGUGAGUUCAAGCCCCACACCGGGUG
Molecule: transfer RNA, 73 nt
Filed under: Canis lupus familiaris (dog)
Lineage: Eukaryota; Metazoa; Chordata; Mammalia; Carnivora; Canidae
Also listed under: 1 other name
Rfam family: tRNA
About the family: Transfer RNA (tRNA) molecules are approximately 80 nucleotides in length.
Source: Rfam by way of RNAcentral